Molecule: ribosomal RNA, 152 nt
Filed under: Trichoderma asperellum
Lineage: Eukaryota; Fungi; Ascomycota; Sordariomycetes; Hypocreales; Hypocreaceae
Description: 5.8S ribosomal RNA
Rfam family: 5.8S ribosomal RNA
About the family: 5.8S ribosomal RNA (5.8S rRNA) is a component of the large subunit of the eukaryotic ribosome. It is transcribed by RNA polymerase I as part of the 45S precursor that also contains 18S and 28S rRNA. Functionally, it is thought that 5.8S rRNA may be involved in ribosome translocation.
Source: RNAcentral
UCAACAACGGAUCUCUUGGUUCUGGCAUCGAUGAAGAACGCAGCGAAAUGCGAUAAGUAAUGUGAAUUGCAGAAUUCAGUGAAUCAUCGAAUCUUUGAACGCACAUUGCGCCCGCCAGUAUUCUGGCGGGCAUGCCUGUCCGAGCGUCAUUU